CCUACGGGUGGCAGCAGUGAGGAAUAUUGGUCAAUGGACGAGAGUCUGAACCAGCCAAGUAGCGUGAAGGAUGACUGCCCUAUGGGUUGUAAACUUCUUUUAUAUGGGAAUAAAAUGUUCCACGUGUGGGAUUUUGUAUGUACCAUAUGAAUAAGGAUCGGCUAACUCCGUGCCAGUAGCCGCGGUAAUACGGAGGAUCCGAGCGUUAUCCGGAUUUAUUGGGUUUAAAGGGAGCGUAGGUGGGUUGUUAAGUCAGUUGUGAAAGUUUGCGGCGCAACCGUAAAAUUGCAGUGGAGACUGGCAGUCUUGAGUACAGUAGAGGUCGGCGGAAUUCGUGGUGUAGCGGUGAAAUGCUUAGAUAUCACGAAGAACUCCGAUUGCGAAGGCAGUGCACUAAACUGCAACUGACACUGAGGCUCGAAAGUGUGGGUAUCAAACAGGAUUAGAUACCCCUGUAGUC
Molecule: ribosomal RNA, 460 nt
Filed under: uncultured bacterium
Lineage: Bacteria
Description: partial 16S ribosomal RNA
Rfam family: Bacterial small subunit ribosomal RNA
Source: RNAcentral